Molecule: ribosomal RNA, 455 nt
Filed under: Bacillus cereus
Lineage: Bacteria; Bacillati; Bacillota; Bacilli; Caryophanales; Bacillaceae
Description: bacterial SSU rRNA
Rfam family: Bacterial small subunit ribosomal RNA
Source: RNAcentral
ACGUAGCGGGUGGACAUGUGGUUUAUUCGAGCACGCGAAGAACCUUACCAGGUCUUGACAUCCUCUGAAAACCCUAGAGAUAGGGCUUCUCCUUCGGGAGCAGAGUGACAGGUGGUGCAUGGUUGUCGUCAGCUCGUGUCGUGAGAUGUUGGGUUAAGUCCCGCAACGAGCGCAACCCUUGAUCUUAGUUGCCAUCAUUAAGUUGGGCACUCUAAGGUGACUGCCGGUGACAAACCGGAGGAAGGUGGGGAUGACGUCAAAUCAUCAUGCCCCUUAUGACCUGGGCUACACACGUGCUACAAUGGACGGUACAAAGAGCUGCAAGACCGCGAGGUGGAGCUAAUCUCAUAAAACCGUUCUCAGUUCGGAUUGUAGGCUGCAACUCGCCUACAUGAAGCUGGAAUCGCUAGUAAUCGCGGAUCAGCAUGCCGCGGUGAAUACGUUCCCGGGCCUGG